Molecule: long non-coding RNA, 441 nt
Filed under: Ictidomys tridecemlineatus (thirteen-lined ground squirrel)
Lineage: Eukaryota; Metazoa; Chordata; Mammalia; Rodentia; Sciuridae
Description: lncRNA (ENSSTOG00000032156.1)
Source: RNAcentral
AUGCCAAGGGGUGUAUUUCAUGGUGAUUGGUGAGUUCUGAGAAUUGCCCAUUGUAAAAGUGUGUUCAAAUGUAUUUGAAUUCCAAGUUUUGCCUUAUAAGGAAUAUGACAUCAUCUCAGUGUACAGGUAUGGCUUCAGGUUCAAAUUUCAUCACCACUGGGAGAAAGUUUUUGGCUAGUCCAGCUGAUGCCCAAUGUGGUACCUGAACAUCUGAAACAGGGACCAUUCUGGAUGUAUUAAUGGAGAAGGGAGUAGCUUAUCACCUGGAGCAGGCUGAUGCGUGACUUUCAUCAGCUGGUACUGAUCCCCAUUGGUGUGCAGCCUCAUCUGUCCUGCAUCAUUUGGCAAUCCACAUGGGAUGGAAAUGGUGAAGUUGCCUCUCUUGUCUCUGGAGUCUGGGAUGUUGGAGGACAUUGCUUCCCCUUAGCACACCACAGAGGC